UGAGGAACAUGACCUUCGGCGGGGGAGUAGCCGGCCCAACGGCCGGGUAAUACCGCAUACGUUCUUUUUGGGGUCGAUCCCGAAAACGAAAGAAACCUCCGGGGCGGAAUCGAGGGACUCGCGGCCUAUCAGCUAGUUGGCGAGGUAACGGCUCACCAAGGCUACGACGGGUAGCUGGUCUGAGAGGAUGGCCAGCCACAUUGGGACUGAGAAACGGCCCAGACUCCUACGGGAGGCAG
RNAcentral lists this ribosomal RNA (239 nucleotides) under uncultured bacterium. Its description in RNAcentral is "partial 16S ribosomal RNA". It matches the Rfam family "Bacterial small subunit ribosomal RNA", at positions 118 to 351 of the family's 1533-position model. The record is from RNAcentral.